Molecule: non-coding RNA, 179 nt
Filed under: Oscillibacter sp. CAG:155
Lineage: Bacteria; Bacillati; Bacillota; Clostridia; Eubacteriales; Oscillospiraceae
Also listed under: 1 other name
Description: glmS glucosamine-6-phosphate activated ribozyme aptamer
Rfam family: glmS glucosamine-6-phosphate activated ribozyme aptamer
About the family: This entry contains a glucosamine-6-phosphate activated ribozyme that is found in the mRNA for GlmS. GlmS is an enzyme that uses fructose-6-phosphate and glutamine to generate glucosamine-6-phosphate.
Source: Rfam by way of RNAcentral
GGCCCAUCAAAAGCGCCAGCGCCUGCCGGAAACCGGCAGGAUGACGAGGAGAAGGGAACAAACGGGGGAACCACCCCUGUGAUCGAAUGUUCGGCGGAUGCCCUUCCGUACAUGCAGGUGCGAACAUGGCCCACAAAUAUGCGGAUAACCGCAAAACAGAACGGCCAUGACUGCGAAAA